Non-coding RNA from Pantherophis guttatus, 656 nucleotides. The record is from RefSeq and is a predicted model, not a curated record. NCBI's taxonomy places the organism in Eukaryota, Metazoa, Chordata, Lepidosauria, Squamata, Colubridae.
GGGCGGGGGCUUCGCUCUCUGCUUCACAAUGGAGUUUCUCGGAGAGAAGUUGGGAAGUUGAAGAUGGAUCCGUUGAGGACCAGCAAAUCAGCUGGAGGGAGCUUUGGCUCCCGCCAGCUUUCGGCGUCUUCAUUUUACAGUCAACUUUAGGCAAUGGGUCACCUUUUGAGAUCCUAGGAGAUGCCAAACAAGAGGCUCGAUUCACACCACAGACUGAACCAGGUCAGAUAAAGCGGUAAAGAACUACAUUUACACAGUGUGGGAAGCUGCUGCUUGCUGAUCCGCAAUGGUCCGGUCCAUCUUAGGAGCCCAGAAGGAGCAACAGCAUGUGGGAAACAAUAAUGACCAGCUUCAACUUCUGCCUCCUGGUCUGGUCCGUCUACUACUUCUUGGGGAACGAGAGGGUCCACGAACAGUUCUUCAGCAACUUAGGGAUGGACCCCCUGGCCUUCCCUUUUGUGGAUCUGCUCCGCGUCAGCUCCCACCUUAGACUCCGCAUCUUCUACUACAUCAUCUCGGCUUUGCUCCUUGUGUUCCUCUCGGCCGUCUUCUCCCGGGACUAGGAGGCCAAGUCCUGGGGUCCUGGUGGGACGCCAGGUGCCCAUCGGGGACACUGAACUUGACUUACUUGUGGUAAUAAAGUCACCAGACGCUUU